GACGAACGCUGGCGGCGUGCUUAACACAUGCAAGUCGAACGGAAAGACCCUGCUUUUGUGGGGUGCUCGGGUGGCGAACGGGUGCGUAACACGUAAGUAACCUGCCCUUGACUUUGGGAUGACUUCAGGAAACUGGGGCUACUACCAGAUAGGAGCUCCUGCUGCGUUGUGAGGGUUGGAUAUUUUCGGCGGGUGGGGAUGGACUGGCGGCUUAUCGGCUAGUUGGUGGGGUAGUGGCUUACCCAGGCUUUGACGGGUCGCCGGCCUGGGAGGGUGGACGGCGACAUGAGGACUGCGAGAGGGCCCAGUCGGCUACGGGAGGCAGUGGGGGGGAAUAUUGUACAAUGGGCGGAAGUCUGAUGCAGCAACGCCGCGUGUGGGAUGACGUCUUUCGGGGUGUAAACCGCUGCCGCCUGUGACGACGCGGGAGUGACGGUAACGGGUAAAGAAGCACCGGCUAACUACGUG
Molecule: ribosomal RNA, 468 nt
Filed under: uncultured bacterium
Lineage: Bacteria
Description: partial 16S ribosomal RNA
Rfam family: Bacterial small subunit ribosomal RNA
Source: RNAcentral